RNAcentral lists this ribosomal RNA (652 nucleotides) under Xanthoparmelia sp. Its description in RNAcentral is "SSU rRNA". It matches the Rfam family "Bacterial small subunit ribosomal RNA", at positions 555 to 1161 of the family's 1533-position model. The record is from RNAcentral. Lineage: Eukaryota; Fungi; Ascomycota; Lecanoromycetes; Lecanorales; Parmeliaceae.
UCGGUUUAAAGGGUACCUAGACGGUAGAUCAAGCUUUCUAUAAAGGAAAAGGACUAAUUUACUAGAGUUACUUAUGAGGGGGUAUUAAAGUACUGCUGGUGUAGAGAUGAAAUUCUGUCAUACCUCUUUUCAAAAGAAAAACCAUGGCACAGGUAUAGGCGAAGGCAUCCCCUUAUGUGAUAACUGACGUUGAGGGACGAAGGCUUUGUGUAGCGAACAGGAUUAGAUACCCCAGUAGUCGAAGCAGAAAAUGAUGAAUGUCAUAGAUUAGAUAUAUAAGUUUAUUCUAUAAAUGAAAGUGUAAGCAUUCCACCUCAUGAGUAAUUUGGCAACAUUGGAACUGAAAUCAUUAGACCGUUUCUGAAACCAGUAGUGAAGUAUGUUGUUUAAUUUGAUGAUCCGCAAAAAACCUUACCACAAUUUGAAUAUUUAUAUUAUUUAUUGUUUUAUUAUUAAUUUUCUUGAACGUAAAGAUCACGUAAAAGAAAAAAGAAAUGCAUGAUAAUAGUAAGAAAAUUAAUAAAGAGGCAAUAAGAUAUAUUUACAAGCGUUGCACGGCUGUCUUCAGUUAAUGUCGCGAGACUUUGGUUAGUUCCAUUAAAUUAACGUAAACCCUUACUUUAUUUUUAGAUAGAGUAGUUCCCCGCUAUAU